CAGGCUGGUUGGGCAAUCGCGGUUCUGCUUGCAGGAUCGAGGAAAGUCCGCACUCCACAGAGCGCGACGUCGGAUAACAUCCGGGGCGGGGCAACCUGCCGGAACAGGGCCACAGAAACAAACAGCCAUCCCUCGGGGUGGUGAUGGUGAAAAGGUGGUGUAAGAGACCACCGGCGUUUGCAGUAAUGCAGGCGGCCAGGUAACCCCCGUCGGGAGCAAGGCAAAGCAGGGACAAGAGAUGGCUCGUCUCAUUUGAGUCCCGGGUAUGCUGCAACGAGCGGCGCGGUGACGUGACGCCCAGAGAGAUGAUUGCACAGAUGGCGCAAGUCAUCGGACAGAAUGCGGCUUAUAAACCAGCCUGAGAC
RNAcentral lists this RNase P RNA (365 nucleotides) under Anaerolineales bacterium. Its description in RNAcentral is "RNase P RNA component class A". It matches the Rfam family "Bacterial RNase P class A". Rfam says of the family: Ribonuclease P (RNase P) is a ubiquitous endoribonuclease, found in archaea, bacteria and eukarya as well as chloroplasts and mitochondria. Its best characterised activity is the generation of mature 5'-ends of tRNAs by cleaving the 5'-leader elements of precursor-tRNAs. The record is from RNAcentral. Lineage: Bacteria; Bacillati; Chloroflexota; Anaerolineae; Anaerolineales.